Molecule: long non-coding RNA, 212 nt
Organism: Hibiscus syriacus
Lineage: Eukaryota; Viridiplantae; Streptophyta; Magnoliopsida; Malvales; Malvaceae
Exons: 4
Source: RefSeq, a predicted model, not a curated record
UAUUGAAUACUUUUCAAUUGCUUAGUGCUAAGCCGGUUGUUUAUUUGGUUAACAUGACCGAGAAAGAUUACCAAAGAAAAAAGAAAAAGUUCUUACCAAAGAUUCAUUCUUGGUAUGCUCUCUUCCUAUGUCUGUGUUUGUCUCAGUGGUUGGGAUUCACAUAUGCUUUUUCUAUAUAAUGCCUGGAAACGUAGUUUGAAGCAAGACUGAAG